UGCUCACUUCAGCAGCAAUAUGCUAAAAUUGGAAUGAUACAGAGAUUAGCAUGGCUCCUGUGCAAGGAUGACACACAAAUCCAUGAAGUGUUCCAUAAAAAU
Rhinolophus ferrumequinum (greater horseshoe bat) is the source of this 102-nucleotide small nuclear RNA. The record is from Ensembl. Lineage: Eukaryota; Metazoa; Chordata; Mammalia; Chiroptera; Rhinolophidae.